GCUUUAGAAGACCACAAAAUUGUUCACUAUUUCAUAUAAAAGCUUUAUUCCAGUAGAAAAUUCACUGCAUCAAGAAACUACUUUUAAAAUUGCAAUAUUAAACAAUGUUAAAAUAUUACAAACAAAGUAAGCAACGAAGUACGACUCAAGAAUAAUCUCUUCCAAGUGCACAAAAGAAAGCUGCAUGUCACCAUCCAUUUAUUUCAAUGUUCAAGCGUGGAUUACGUUACUACUGUAACAUUUCAGAACUGGGGCGCAAUUAGGUAUGACAGUCAAUAGGAUAUUGCUUAGAUCUAUAUGGCAAUACUGAUAGUUAUUGAGAUCUUAAUUAAACUCCGGAAGAGCCUCAAUUGUACAGUGACCCAUUGCUUCCAUUAGUUUAGGUUUGAAAUGUGGCUGGGUACCGCAAAUUUCACAUCCCAAGGCAUGGUCUUUUCAAAAUAGCACCAUUUAGCUAGGAAUUACCCAUACAAGUUGGUAAACAUAAAUAUAAUACUAAUGUCAAUGAUGGGCAAUUCAGGAAAAUUGAACAUGGAGGAUUAGAAUACCAAAGACAUCUUAUGAUCAUAUCCCGAUUAAAAAGCCAAUGAAUAAUAACUUCCCAGAAUAAUUCCAUCCAAAUAAACCAGGCCAUCUUUUCAGUACACUGUGAAUGUUCGCAAAUUCUACAAAUUUUAUAUUAUUUAAUAAAGUUGCUACAUAUAAAGUGGAGAUAUAAAAGCUACAUAAAACUAUGUAGAAAGGGUGCAGCAUUUCUCAAACUAUUUUUGUUCCGGUACACCUAUGACCAAUUCAGUCGCAAUUUUGAUUCUUGUCCCGCAGUAUUGCGAAAAAGCUUGCUGAACAUAGUUUGAGAAACGCUGAAUUAAUGUUGUCUGCGUAGCCACAAAGCAGAACAUUCGAAAUGGGCAACAAUCAACAAACAUUAGCUAUAUGAUUAUUCAAUAAGCAAUUCAAAGUUUAUCAAGUGAAAAAAGUUGGUAUGAAUACAAAAAAGUCACUCGUUUGAAAAUAAAAUCAAUAAAAAAAUCGGUGCUCCCAAAGUAUGCGAA
This is a non-coding RNA of Styela clava, 1052 nucleotides long. NCBI's taxonomy places the organism in Eukaryota, Metazoa, Chordata, Ascidiacea, Stolidobranchia, Styelidae. The record is from RefSeq and is a predicted model, not a curated record.